AGGACGAACGCUGGCGGCGUGCCUAAUACAUGCAAGUCGAACGAGACUUUCCUUGGUGGUAACACCUUUGAUUGUCUAGUGGCGAACGGGUGAGUAACACGUGAGAAACCUGCCCUGAAGACGGGGAUAACAGAAGGAAACUUCUGCUAAUACCCGAUACCCCCACCGGAUCGCAUGGUCUGGUGAGGAAAUGGAUUCCGCUUCAGGAGGGUCUCGCGGCCUAUCAGCUUGUUGGUGAGGUAACGGCUCACCAAGGCUUGGACGGGUAGCUGGUCUGAGAGGACGAUCAGCCACACUGGGACUGAGACACGGCCCAGACUCCUACGGGAGGCAGCAGUAAGGAAUAUUGCGCAAUGGGCGAAAGCCUGACGCAGCAACGCCGCGUGCGGGAUGAAGGCCCUCGGUUGUAAACCGCUUUCAGUAGGAAGAAAAUGAACGUACCUAACAGAAGAACGACCCCGGACCAACUACGUGCCAGCAGCCGC
Molecule: ribosomal RNA, 485 nt
Filed under: uncultured soil bacterium
Lineage: Bacteria
Description: bacterial SSU rRNA
Rfam family: Bacterial small subunit ribosomal RNA
Source: RNAcentral